RNAcentral lists this unclassified non-coding RNA (1362 nucleotides) under Hevea brasiliensis (rubber tree). The record is from RNAcentral. Lineage: Eukaryota; Viridiplantae; Streptophyta; Magnoliopsida; Malpighiales; Euphorbiaceae.
GAUAAGCUACAAAUAAGAUAACCAGCAAUACAACACAUUUAUAGAUUGUUUGUAACCAUGAGCUCAUGUCCAUGGGUUAUUACAAAUUACUUUACUUCAAAAUAAUACGUAUGAUAUUAUUAAUUAUUCACAAAGUGCUAGCGCACUUUAUGAGAAAUGGCUGCAGAGGAGGGUAAGAGGCCCUUUGUAGAACUAACAUUUCUAUGUUAGUUCAAUUCUACUGCAUAUCCAUUGCAUAAAAUCAAGCACCAUCUUGUCCAAGGCCAGACACUUCAAGAAGGCAGCUAACAAUAUGCAACUUCCUAUGAAGAAAACUGUGACAACUUCAUGAGGUGAUACAGCCAUUAUUGAACACAUGUAAGCUCCAAUUGUUGAAGUUACAGAAAUUAGGAGCCAAGGCAUGAGAGGAAGUUCAUGUGUGAGGAGUGUAAUCAAUGCCAUUGAAGUGAAAAAGGCGAUUGAAUUAAACAAAAUGAAAAGAUGAUUGAUUUCUGCAUCUUGUUUCUCCAAUGGGAAGGUCCUGCUAGACUCAUUAUGAAAAACUUCUGACAUAACUGUGGGAGGUCUUAAUGCAGCAUGGAAAGUGAGAGUUGCCAACAGAGUCGAUGUAAUUAACAACCCAUGAUACUUACUGAUAAGGAAUUCUGACCUGGUUGCUUGUUUCGGGAAUAAGCGCUGCCACUGCUUCCCAACUUCAAUAUAAACCUCACGGUUGCUACUGUCAGCUAUGUCCCUGCCUCUCGAAGCUCCUGCUCUUACAAGAAUUUCUUUUAUCGCCACAUCAACCUCCUCAUUUUCUGGUAUGGCUUCCAAGAUGUCCAGUGCUGUAAAGCCUCCAUUGUUUUUGGCAUUUACCUCAACCAUGUCACUAUGAGUAGGACUAUCUUCCAGCAUUAGUUUUAGGGUUGGAAGUUGUUUCCUGCAGGUUGCAAGAUGCAAAACUGUAUCGCCGCCGCAAUCCUUCCUAUUAAUGACAUCUCUGUAACAGGUUGUCCGUCUAAGCGUCUCCACCAACCACCUGACAACAUCACAGUGACCGUGCCUCACUGCAAGGUGAAGCGGUGUCUCUCUAGUCAUUGGCGUGACAUCCAUCACAGACUCAGGGUAACGAAUCAACAGUUCCCUCAUCGAACUGACCCUCCCUUCCCUCGCUGCCUCGCUCCAUUGAAUACAAGAUGAAGCAGAAACAUGCCCCCAGUGCUCCUGACCCUGGCUAUCCUCACGCUGAAAUUCAUUCGCAUUCCCAUCACAAGCAGCGCGCUCAAUGUUUAAGAGCUCGUGAUACUCUAUGGCACCACCGUCAUCACCAGGUGAAAAUAUCCUAGAAUCCAUUUUCGAUAGCGGGAGUUCCAAACACCGCAG